Molecule: ribosomal RNA, 2701 nt
Filed under: Triticum aestivum (bread wheat)
Lineage: Eukaryota; Viridiplantae; Streptophyta; Magnoliopsida; Poales; Poaceae
Description: partial small subunit ribosomal RNA
Source: RNAcentral
AUGCCACUUCCGACCAGCACCUGGCCUGAUGCCAUGAACUACAUUGUCACAUUAAACUGCAGGGACAAGUUCCCUCAGUUUUCUCUCGACAAAUCCAACAGUACAGGUUCUCCGGCGCGCCAAGUAUUGCUGGCGGCGAUGCCUGCAUCAUGGCCCAUUGAGGAGAUCAUGGCCAUCAGUUGUACUUGGUGGUGCAGACUUGGUAGCGGUGAUAUCUUGGUUCAAUUAUAUAUCAACAAUAGUGCAAUGACUGAAAGAUCAUCAGUUCAAAAUAUAUAUGCAGAAGGAGGUUCAAAGAUUGUCGUGGAGCAAGUUAAAGAGUUCAGUACACUUGCGUCAGUCGUCCAUCAUCUUCUGACAUCUAGUAUCNNNNNNNNNNNNNNNNNNNNNNNNNNNNNNNNNNNNNNNNNNNNNNNNNNNNNNNNNNNNNNNNNNNNGGCGGCGAGGCCCUACCAUCUCCCGGUGAUGACUUGCCGGCACACCCUGCAGAUUCACCUCUCACUCGCACCACGACCGCAGCUUCACUCCCGUGUGCCACCCUCGGCUGCCGCGCCAUGGCCUGCGCUCAGCGGCUGCGGGUGGAGCAGCUGGGUCGAGGAACUUUGCCUCGACAGUACAGCAUCACACUCUGCUGUCGGUCGUGAGAAGAGCUGCGUGCAGGCCACCCCGUGUCCGCCCUCGAUCCAUCUUAGUCAUCUCCCUCUCAUCCUCUCUCUCUCUCUGGUCUGUGUUUCUGUGUGCAGGGAGUUGGAGGAGAUAGAGCAGGGGAGUGGGAGGCCCUUCCAUGGCAAAUUCGUUGGCAUCUUCCAUGGAGAUUGCGACCUCUCUUGAUUUUUGCUUGAGGAUUUCUCCUCUGGAUCUGUCCACUGUAGUUCUUGUAUAGCGGCGUCCUUUUUUCUAGUGUUCCUCAAUGUUGAGGCAUGUGUUUAAUAACCCACUCAUACGAAUUCUAGAAACAAGCUUCAGUACAAGAAAAAUGGGUCGUUCAGUUCAAUUCUGAAUUAUAGGUGUGUGUAAACACAUCCUCCUGACACAGUAACUAAUUAACUAUGAUACCAUGUUCAGACUUCUAUAAAUCCCGAAACUAUGCAGAGUUAGGAUUGUUACUACCUUGUUUCUUACUAUUGAUUCAUUUUUAUACUAUAUUGAGAUGGUACAUGUAGUUGGACAUCUGAAUAUACUGGUGAUUGCUUCUUGCUGCCUCUAUUUUUAUCAUGAUUUGGUGUGUGCACAGCAGGAGUGUUUUUGUUCCUAGAUCAGUUGCUCAACAACAGAAUUGUGUAUCGCACAGUACAUGUAUUACUACUAUGAAGGUUCAGAAAUAAGAACUCAAAGAAGUAUUGACAACAUAGCUACUGUAUAUUCAAGGAGUCGGGUUUUGCUCCUGCAUCAUCUCAUCUCCUCCGUUCAGCAAAAGCCUCGAGAUAAGUUCACACAUAUGGUUUUGUUUCUUUCUAUAAUUCUUGAGUCCAAACUCCUUCGUUUUUUGUUCCUGAGAAAUUAAAUAAACCUGUAGAAGUUUGGGGUAUAAAAUUCUGUAAGUUCGAAAUCGGGAAACUGGUAAGUGCAGACAAAAUUAAAUCUGUCAAAGAAUUAUUGUAGGCAAGUUUAGAAGUUUGGCUUCGUGAGAAAAAAGUAUGAUUUUCUAUCAGUAUUUUGUAUGAUUCAUUUGCCUCAGCUAAAAAUAAAAAAUUAGACAAAAAAUAAUUUUGUUUACUGCCGGUAAUGCUCUCUCCACCCUACUGUCUGUUUUGGUUGAUGAACAAGUACGGGCAAAAUAUCUUGUAUAGGGCAAGUUCUUGUAUUAGUGCCAGGCAAGUUCAAAAAAUAAACCGCGGCAAGUUCAAAAUGAAAAUGUGGCAAAAACAAAAAGGGAGUUCGGAAGUAGGAAUUUGGAUGUAUCUGCCAUUUUUCUUUUUUGUGCUCAGGUUUACAUGAAAAUACACUUUUAGUUUCAGGAAUUGAAGAACUUUUUAGGAAGAAUUAGCCUUUUGAGCUACUGUUGAUGGCUGGCAUUUGUGCCCCGAAGUACGAGUUUGGAAGGCCAGUAAGUUCUACUUCUGGCAUAAGCCAACAGAGCAUCGGUCGAAGAAGGCCGAGGCACCUCGUGCCAGCUCCGGGCAUCACCGGAGUCCCUACCUGUUCUUCCACCGCCCCCGUGCACUCACCGUCGAGCCUAUCCAUGCACAGCUCUAGUAUUGAUGAGCUUCAGGCUUGUCGUUGUUCAUGCAGAUUAAUUCUUUGUUAAUUGCUAUUGCACAUUCAGUAAAUGUAGCCUUUGUCUUUUCAGUGAAGUUUUAUUGUGAAGAUUUUUUAAUGCACAUCGAAACCAGAUUGUCUGCUGUUACAUGUGCAUCAUAUGCGUAUUUUUCCAUCGAGAAACCUCAUCAUAUGUAAAUGUCUUCUAACUCUAGAUUUUGAUGAUGCAAAGUUGUAUCCGUGUACACAUUUCUUAUUUCUAUUGCUCUUGGUUCAAAUGACCAAUUGCUAUAAGUUCCUAUGUGUGUCAGAGAACAAUAGUGUUUGGCCAGAUCAAGAUUUGCACUAGUGGAAUUUUUUUUUUGUACCCUUGUGCGAAAGCACUUUAUUUUCUGAUGAUUAUUAUUAUUGUCAUGUGGGUGUGGUUGAACAUUUGCAGUGCAGGAAAUAGGCCUGUCAUUUUUGUGUUGCGGUGGGUGCUAUGGAUAAUAUGAAAAUGUGC